CGUGCGCCCGGGGUUUCAGAGGCCCGUGCACCUGGUAGUGAGAAGCUGAGGCCCAGGAGCCGUUAGGUCCCAAAGGGAGAGCCAGGCCCAGGCUCCCGGUGGGCGUGGACAGGCCGGGGGUGGGGGCACCUCCGAGGCCACUCUGCAGCCAAGCCUCCCGGAAGCACUCUGAUCAAAGAGGCUGAGCCGAUCCGCUGGGCGGUGGCUCCAGAUCCCCCCUGGAUGGAGGGGCCUCUUUAACCAGGAGCCUCUGAGCGGGGGCACCCCGAGUGGGUCAGGGCUGGGUGGGUACAGGCAGGAGGUGCUCUGGGGGACCUGCUUUCGAUUCACGGCAUUCAUUUCUCUCUUUCUUAUUUGCUUCUAGGAGUAUAUCCACGUUCUUCUAUGUUUCAAAGCAGUGCUCGAAGAAAUGUCCAACAGUUGAACAGCUCGGUCUAGUAGUCAAGUCCUUUGUCCUCAUAAAGCCAUGCCUUUUCUGUAUACGAGAUGCGGCUCAGACAUGUUAUGUAACAGAAGCACCGGAGAUCCGGGAUCCAGAUUUUAGACAAUCUGGGAGAGCGAGCGACGUGAGGAGCAGCAGUGCCUGGCUGGUGCCCCUCCUCAUGCUGUCCCCGGGGCUAGCGGGCCUCAGGUUGCCGUGACCCACAGAGCAUGGCUCGGGCCCACCUUCUGCAGGUGGCACAGAUGACGUGGACUCGCUGCUCAUGCUUGGAACCUGUGGCAUUAAACUUGUUUUCCGCCCACUGACUCACCGUCUGCCUCUGAGGGGCCUUAGGACGGGGGGGCGGGGCCCACACCCAGUUGGUCAGAGCCCACAGCCUGCCUUGGGGUGAGUCCAAACCCUCUGACAGUGAUCCCGCUGACGAGUGUGUCUCUUGGAACACCAGCCUUGUCACUCUUGAUUUCUGACCCUCUUUCCUCGUCUUGGCCUUUGAGGGCGUCAGUGCUGGAGGAGGGGAGCCCGAGUGUCCCCUGUGAAGAGUAGUGGUCGCAUGCUUCUGGGCUUCCUUGGGAGGGCCCAGGGCCAGGAAGACAGGAUGAUGUGAGCGUGAGAGCCCCAGGAGGGAAGGAGUCCCCGGCGUGGGGUGGGGCCAUCAUCCCGGGGACAGCCUUCCUUUGAUGGGGGCGGCACCCCCUCGGCUGCUCGCACUCAGCUCCCCCACCCGGACUCCAGGAGACGG
This 1181-nucleotide long non-coding RNA is filed under the name Canis lupus familiaris (dog). RNAcentral describes it as "lncRNA (ENSCAFG00000054686.1)". The record is from RNAcentral. Lineage: Eukaryota; Metazoa; Chordata; Mammalia; Carnivora; Canidae.